This 400-nucleotide ribosomal RNA is filed under the name Bacillus sp. CSu5_21. RNAcentral's name for it is "bacterial SSU rRNA". It matches the Rfam family "Bacterial small subunit ribosomal RNA", at positions 119 to 503 of the family's 1533-position model. Lineage: Bacteria; Bacillati; Bacillota; Bacilli; Caryophanales; Bacillaceae. The record is from RNAcentral.
GGGCAACCUGACCUGUAAGACUGUGGAUAACUCCUGGGAAACCGGGGCUAAUACCGGAUAAUUCUUUCCCUCACAUGAGGGAAAGCUGAAAGAUGGUUUCGGCUAUCACUUACAGAUGGGCCCGCGGCGCAUUAGCUAGUUGGUGAGGUAACGGCUCACCAAGGCGACGAUGCGUAGCCGACCUGAGAGGGUGAUCGGCCACACUGGGACUGAGACACGGCCCAGACUCCUACGGGAGGCAGCAGUAGGGAAUCUUCCGCAAUGGACGAAAGUCUGACGGAGCAACGCCGCGUGAGUGAUGAAGGUUUUCGGAUCGUAUAACUCUGUUGUCAGGGAAGACAAGUAUCGGAGUAACUGCCGGUACCUUGACGGUACCUGACCAGACAGCCACGGCUAACUA